Chinchilla lanigera (long-tailed chinchilla) is the source of this 1720-nucleotide long non-coding RNA. RefSeq lists it as uncharacterized. Lineage: Eukaryota; Metazoa; Chordata; Mammalia; Rodentia; Chinchillidae. The transcript is spliced from 4 exons. The record is from RefSeq and is a predicted model, not a curated record.
AGGCAAGUGCUUUAUCUCUGAGCUAUAUCCCCUGCUCUAAAACCACAUUUUUUUUUUUUAAAGAAAAGGUACAAUAGGGUCCACUCACUUUAAAACACCAAGGGGAGAAAUUUUGAGAAUCUCAAUAUAAAAGACUGAGAAGUCAUUCACCAAAUAUUUAGAUUCCCAUGCGUCUCUUUCAUCAACUGAGAGUUUAGCAUGAGAGCAGCAGAGCUUCCAGGGCCUUGCACACUGCUGAAAACCGGAAGGGAGCACAUCAUCAACGCCUCACGGUCGGGUUUGGAGGGGGGGGAUGUAGGUAACUCUCUGUGUUGCCCCUCCCAGCUCCCCCUCCCAGACGGGAAGACUUAGCCUCCUGCUGGUGGGAUUGGAUAAACCUGGCUAACACUCUCCAGCUGCUACCUCUGUAGCAGAGGAGUUGCCCAUAGCCGCAGAGGACGCUGCUCCAGGUUGGGCCCAAUGCCCUCCCCCAGUGCAGGGCAGGUUGCAAGGGCUCUUUCAGUUUCAGGAUCCUGGCAGAGUGGCUGAGGCCAUAUGACUCAUACUGGUCAAUAAAAUGUGAGUAAAUGUUAGGUGUUACUUCCUGGUGGAAACUUUGUACUUUGUCUUGUACUUCUCCUCUGGGACGUGUGGAAACACUGGAUUAUAACCAAAAUGACCUUCCCAGAACUUUGAACUUGCUGUGUUCCUGACUAGACAGUAGUAUUUGAAGGAAGGAAAGAGAGAGAGAGAGUGUACCUAUACAAAAGGAAAGAGACAGUUAUUCUAGUCUCAGCCUUACGAGGAUAACCAUAAUAAAUAAAUAUAAACUCAGGACAGCGUUCCUGGAGAGAUUAAGUAUGUCAGUCAUGUUGGUGGCCCCAUGUAUAGUUCAUUUUGUGGGAGGGAUCUAUGAGUAGUGCCACUUGUCUCAGAGAAUGGCAUUUGUACAAUUUAGAAAUUUAUAUGGGUGACAUGUUUAGACAAUUAUUUAAGGUAUCCUUUCUUUUUCAGCAGAUUCAAAUGCUUUUGAGUUUUGCUUUGUCAUGGCAGAGAUGGAUGUGAGCUUUGCGGAAUGCUGAUUUCACUUCUUCCAGUGACAGCCAUAUGUAGUUCUUUACUAGGAUGACUGUACCACAGCUCUUGCUUUGGAAUUGCCGAGGCCAAGGGCCAAGAAACAUGGAACCACCUGACCAUGGACUGAAACCCCUGAAACCAUGAACCAAAUGAAACCUUUCCUCCUUAAUGUUCUCAUUCUCAGGGUCUCACCAAAGUUCAAGCUGCCCUUGAACUCAUUAUGGAGCUCAGGAUAACUCCAAGCUCACAGAGCUCCUCCAGCCUCAGCCUCCCAAAUGCUGGGAUUACAGGUCUCAGGAACCAGGACUCUCCUUGGUCUUUGAAGUCCUUGGCUUGCUCAGAGUAGCAGAAAGUGAAGAACAACAGUGUGGCUAUAGGUGGGAUAGGAGAAUGGACUUAAUUUGAGUGUUAAAAUAAACAAGACCUUUUUUUGUAUCCCAAGUUGCUGGUUAUAUGUGUAUAAUAUGCAUGUAAUUCGGUAAGGUCAGAAUGGCACCAGACACAAAACACACAGAAAAAUAAAAAUAGUACAGCAGUGUUAAAAGUGUUGGAGUUCAAUUGGUUUUCCUUCAGUGUGGUUAUGUCUUUAAUAAAAAGGUCAAAACAUGUUAUUGUUAUUUGCAUUACAAUUAAAUUUACAUUGAAAAUAAAUCUUUAAGAAUUG